Molecule: ribosomal RNA, 426 nt
Filed under: uncultured bacterium
Lineage: Bacteria
Description: bacterial SSU rRNA
Rfam family: Bacterial small subunit ribosomal RNA
Source: RNAcentral
CGGCUAACUCUGUGCCAGCAGCCGCGGUAAGACAGAGGGUGCAAACGUUGUUCGGAAUUACUGGGCGUAAAGCGUGUGUAGGCGGCUCUGCAGGUCGGAUGUGAAAUCCCUCGGCUCAACCAAGGAAGUGCAUUCGAAACCGCAAAGCUAGAGUGUCGGAGAGGAAGGCGGAAUUGUCGGUGUAGAGGUGAAAUUCGUAGAUAUCGACAGGAACACCUGCGGCGAAAGCGGCCUUCUGGACGAACACUGACGCUGAGACACGAAAGCGUGGGGAGCAAACAGGAUUAGAUACCCUGGUAGUCCACGCCGUAAACGAUGGGUGCUAGAUGUCACGGGCUUUGACCCCUGUGGCGUCGUAGCCAACGCGUUAAGCACCCCGCCUGGGGAGUACGGCCGCAAGGCUAAAACUCAAAGGAAUUGACGGGG